Molecule: long non-coding RNA, 256 nt
Filed under: Mytilus galloprovincialis (Mediterranean mussel)
Lineage: Eukaryota; Metazoa; Mollusca; Bivalvia; Mytilida; Mytilidae
Source: RNAcentral
CUGGUAAUCAAUUUUUUUCUCUUCAACAUUUAACACUAUAAUGUGUGGGGAAACUCUUGAUUCAGAAUAUUUUUUAUCAUCUGUAGAACCAGAAUUGUUAUCUUUAUCCAAUUGGGGUUCGGAAUAUUUCCAUCCCCCCUAUUUAGAGUCAAAUGGUCAUUCCCUUGCUGCUAGAAAAGUUGUCCGAAAACGUUUCAUUCGAUUCUACGUAAUAAACAUUUUUAAUUGACAUAGAGUUUACAAGUGUGAACAAAUC